ACUCAUUGGUAGAGUACAAAGCUCUUAACCUUGUGGACGUGGGUUCAAGCCCCAU
This 55-nucleotide transfer RNA is filed under the name Triticum aestivum (bread wheat). It matches the Rfam family "tRNA", at positions 10 to 63 of the family's 71-position model. From Rfam's summary of the family: Transfer RNA (tRNA) molecules are approximately 80 nucleotides in length. Their secondary structure includes four short double-helical elements and three loops (D, anti-codon, and T loops). RNAcentral also lists the same sequence under 1 other name. Lineage: Eukaryota; Viridiplantae; Streptophyta; Magnoliopsida; Poales; Poaceae. The record is from Rfam by way of RNAcentral.